This 465-nucleotide ribosomal RNA is filed under the name Vreelandella stevensii. RNAcentral describes it as "partial 16S ribosomal RNA". It matches the Rfam family "Bacterial small subunit ribosomal RNA", at positions 338 to 795 of the family's 1533-position model. The record is from RNAcentral. Lineage: Bacteria; Pseudomonadati; Pseudomonadota; Gammaproteobacteria; Oceanospirillales; Halomonadaceae.
CCUACGGGAGGCAGCAGUGGGGAAUAUUGGACAAUGGGCGAAAGCCUGAUCCAGCCAUGCCGCGUGUGUGAAGAAGGCCUUCGGGUUGUAAAGCACUUUCAGUGGGGAAGAAAGCCUUGGGGCUAAUACCCUCGAGGAAGGACAUCACCCACAGAAGAAGCACCGGCUAACUCCGUGCCAGCAGCCGCGGUAAUACGGAGGGUGCGAGCGUUAAUCGGAAUUACUGGGCGUAAAGCGCGCGUAGGCGGUCUGAUAAGCCGGUUGUGAAAGCCCCGGGCUCAACCUGGGAACGGCAUCCGGAACUGUCAGGCUAGAGUGCAGGAGAGGAAGGUAGAAUUCCCGGUGUAGCGGUGAAAUGCGUAGAGAUCGGGAGGAAUACCAGUGGCGAAGGCGGCCUUCUGGACUGACACUGACGCUGAGGUGCGAAAGCGUGGGUAGCAAACAGGAUUACAUACCCUAGUAGUC